Molecule: ribosomal RNA, 500 nt
Filed under: uncultured bacterium
Lineage: Bacteria
Description: partial 16S ribosomal RNA
Rfam family: Bacterial small subunit ribosomal RNA
Source: RNAcentral
AUUGAACGCUGGCGGCAUGCCUUACACAUGCGAGUCGAACGGCAGCACGGGAGCAAUCCUGGUGGCGAGUGGCGAACGGGUGAGUAAAGUAUCGGAACGUGCCCAGUCGUGGGGGAUAACGUAGCGAAAGUUACGCUAAUACCGCAUACGAUCUAUGGAUGAAAGCGGGGGAUCGCAAGACCUCGCGCGAUUGGAACGGCCGAUAUCAGAUUAGGUAGUUGGUGGGGUAAAGGCUCACCAAGCCGACGAUCUGUAGCUGGUCUGAGAGGACGACCAGCCACACUGGGACUGAGACACGGCCCAGACUCCUACGGGAGGCAGCAGUGGGGAAUUUUGGACAAUGGGCGAAAGCCUGAUCCAGCCAUGCCGCGUGCAGGAUGAAGGCCUUCGGGUUGUAAACUGCUUUUGUACGGAACGAAAAGGUUUGGCCUAAUAAGCUGAGCUCAUGACGGUACCGUAAGAAUAAGCACCGGCUAACUACGUGCCAGCCGCCGCGGUAA